AUUGAACGCUAGCGGGAUGCCUUACACAUGCAAGUCGAACGGCAGCACGGACUUCGGUCUGGUGGCGAGUGGCGAACGGGUGAGUAAUGUAUCGGAACGUGCCUAGUAGCGGGGGAUAACUACGCGAAAGCGUAGCUAAUACCGCAUACGCCCUACGGGGGAAAGCAGGGGAUCGCAAGACCUUGCACUAUUAGAGCGGCCGAUAUCGGAUUAGCUAGUUGGUGGGGUAACGGCUCACCAAGGCGACGAUCCGUAGCUGGUUUGAGAGGACGACCAGCCACACUGGGACUGAGACACGGCCCAGACUCCUACGGGAGGCAGCAGUGGGGAAUUUUGGACAAUGGGGGAAACCCUGAUCCAGCCAUCCCGCGUGUGCGAUGAAGGCCUUCGGGUUGUAAAGCACUUUUGGCAGGAAAGAAACGUUCCGGGUUAAUACCCCGGGAAACUGACGGUACCUGCAGAAUAAGCACCGGCUAACUACGUGCCAGCAGCCGCGGUAA
RNAcentral lists this ribosomal RNA (500 nucleotides) under uncultured bacterium. RNAcentral's name for it is "partial 16S ribosomal RNA". It matches the Rfam family "Bacterial small subunit ribosomal RNA", at positions 30 to 523 of the family's 1533-position model. The record is from RNAcentral.